Maniola jurtina (meadow brown) is the source of this 155-nucleotide long non-coding RNA. RefSeq lists it as uncharacterized. The record is from RefSeq and is a predicted model, not a curated record. NCBI's taxonomy places the organism in Eukaryota, Metazoa, Arthropoda, Insecta, Lepidoptera, Nymphalidae. The transcript has 3 exons.
UAUUUAAAAAUUAUUUAGGAUCAAUUUUUUAAUCAUCAAAUAACUUUUAUCCGGGGAAUAAAUUUGAGGGUUUAACAGUUUAUGUAUAGAAAAUCUGUCAAUACUUCAAAUCUAUUCCUCAGAUAAAAGUUAUUUGACCGUUGAAAAAUCGGCAC